Long non-coding RNA from Eriocheir sinensis (Chinese mitten crab), 3990 nucleotides. RefSeq lists it as uncharacterized. NCBI's taxonomy places the organism in Eukaryota, Metazoa, Arthropoda, Malacostraca, Decapoda, Varunidae. The transcript is spliced from 3 exons. The record is from RefSeq and is a predicted model, not a curated record.
AACCUAACCUAACAAAAUCUUUACGUAAACAGAGGAACUUGAAUCUACGAGCACCCAAAGCGAUCGUAAAACUUCUAUUCUUACGUAAUGACAGAAAAAUUAGCCUAGUUUACGUUAUAUGAGAAAAAUUAGUAUAGUUUUCGUAGUGACUGAAGUGAAUUAAGCUAACCAACAUCACUAGCCUAACGUAACCUAACCAAAUCUUUACGUAAACAGAGGAACUUGAAUCUACGAGCACCCAAAGCGAUCGUACAACCUUCCAUUCUCUCGUAACAAUGGAAAAAUUAGCCUAGUGUACAUAAUAGAAAAAAAAUUACCAUAGAUUUCGUAGUGAUUGAAGUGAAUUAAGCUAACCGACAUCACUAGCCUAACAUAACCUAACCAAAUCUUUACGUAAACAGAGAAAGUCGACUUUACGAACACCCGAAAGCAACCAAAAGCCUCUAUUCACAAGGGACGGGUUUCAAUUUCAGACCGUGAAUUUAGCUUUCGUAAUGAUAGAAAAAUUAGAAUAAAUUUCGUAAUGAGAAAUAUUUGUAUAGUUUUCGUAAUAUGAGAAAAUUCAGCAAAGUUUUCGUAGUGACUGAAGUGAAUUAAGCUGACCGACAUCACUAGCCUAACCUAACCUAACCAAAUCUUUACGUAAACAGAGGAACUUGAAUCUACGAGCACCCAAAGCGAUCGUACAACCUUCCAUUCUCUCGUAACAAUGGAGAAAUUAGCCUAGUUUACAUUGUAUGAGAAAAAUUAGUAUAGUUUUCGUAGUGACUGAAGUGAAUUAAGCUGACUGACAACACUAGCCUAACAUAACCUAUCCAAAUCUUUACGUAAACAGAGGAACUUGAAUCUACAAGCACCCAAAGCGAUCGUAAAACUUCUAUUCUUACGUAAUGAUAGAAAAAUUAGCCUAGUUUACGUAAUAGAAGAAAAAUUACCAUAGAUUUCGUAGUGACUGAAGUGAAUUAAGCUAACCGACAUCACUAGCCUAACGUAACCUAUCCAAAUCUUUACGUAAACAGAGAAAGUCGACUUUACGAGCACACCCGAAAGCAACCAUAAAGCCUCUAUUCACAAGGGACGGGUUUCAAUUUCGGACCGUGAAUUUAGCUUUCGUAAUGAUAGAAAAAUUAGAAUAAAUUUCGUAAUGAGAAAUAUUUGUAUAGUUUUCGUAAUAUGAGAAAAUUCAGCAAAGUUUUCGUAGUGACUGAAGUGAAUUAAGCUAACCGACAACACUAGCCUAACCUAACCUAUCCAAAUCUUUACGUAAACAGAGGAACUUGAAUCUACAAGCACCCAAAGCGAUCGUAAAACUUCUAUUCUUACGUAAUGAUAGGAAAAUUAGCCUAGUUCACGUAAUAGAAGAAAAAUUACCAUAGUUUUCGUAGUGACUGAAGUGAAUUAAGCUAACUGACAACACUAGCCUAACAUAACCUAUCCAAAUCUUUACGUAAACAGAGAAAGUCGACUUUACGAGCACACCCGAAAGCAACCAUAAAGCCUCUAUGCUCAAGGGACGGUUUACGAUUUCUGACUGAAAAUUUAGCUUUCGUAAUGAAAGAAAAAUUAAAAUAGGUAUCAUAAUGAGAAAAAAUUGUGGUUUUUGUAAUAUGAGAAAAUUCGGCAAAGUUUUCGUAGUGACUGAAGUGAAUUAAGCUAUCUGACACCACUAGCCUUACCUAACCUAACCAAAUCUUUACGUAAUCACAGAAAAUCGAGAUUACAAGCGCCCAAAGCGAUCUUAAAACCUCUAUUCCUACAUAAUGAUAGAAAAAUUAGCCUAGUUUACAUAUUAGUAGAAAAAUUACCAUAGAUUUCUUAAUGACAAGUGAAUUAACCAAAACCGACAUCACUAGCCUAACCUAACCUAACCAAAUCUUUACGUAAACAGAAAAUUGAAUCUACAAGCACCCAAAGCGAUCUUAAAACCUCUAUUGUUACGUAAUGACAGGAAAAUCAGCCUAGUUUACUUAAUAGAAGAAAAAUUACCAUAGAUUUCGUAGUGACAAGUGAAUUAACCAAAACUGACAUCACUAGCCUAACCUAACCUAACCAAAUCUUUACAUAAUCACAGAAAAUCAAAUCUACAAGCACCCAAAGCGAUCUUAAAAACUCUAUUCUAACGUAAUGACAGGAAAAUCAGCCUAGUUUACUUAAUAGAAGAAAAAUUACCAUAGAUUUCGUAGUGACAAGUGAAUUAACCAAAACCGACAUCACUAGCCUAACCUAACCUAACCAAAUCUUUACGUAAACAGAGGAACUUGAAUCUACGAGCGCCCACAGCAACCGUAACUCUUAUAUAGGGUGCGGGAGGGACUUAGAAUGGACAGCAAGGGGAAGGGGGAGGGAGGGGGCACAUAUAUAAACAAAAAUAAAUAAAUAGAUAAAUAUAUAUAUAUGUAUUUAUAGUAAGCGUGAAGCCUCGAACACUACGGACAGACAGACAAGCGAACGGCAGCCACACACACAGACCAAAGCAAAUAACAACAAUAACAAUGACGUUUUAUAAUCAUCAUCCCUCACAAUAAUAAUAAUAAAAAUAAUGACAGUAUAGCCCCAUGUUGUCAUCAUAAUAAUAAUAAUAAUAAUAAUAAUAAUAAUAGUAAUAGUAGACCACAGCAUCAGCGUCAACAUCAGCGACAGCGACAGUAGUAGUAGUAGUAGUAGUAGUAGUAGUGGUAGGGUGUGUGUGAGUUUGUACGUGCGUGACCUACCCCAGCCUCCACUCGUAACCUAUUCCUAAGUUCAAACUCGUAAUGUAACAAUGAUAUACGUAGUGAGGUCAUCUUUUAUUUCUCCUCCUCUCUUAAUACGUAAUGAGGUCAUCUGUUAUUUCUCCCCCUCUCUUAAUACAUAGUGAGGUCAUCUGUUAUUUCUCCGUCUCUCUUAAUAUGUACUGAGGUCAUCUAUGUUUUGUCCCCCUCUCUUAAUACAUAGUGAGGUCAUCUGUUAUUUCUCCCUCUCUCUUAAUAUGUACUGAGGUCAUCUAUGUUUUCUCCCCCUCUCUUAAUACAUAGUGAGGUCAUCUGUUAUUUCUCCCCCUCUCUUAAUAUGUACUAAGGUCAUCUAUGUUUUCUCCCCCUCUCUUAAUACGUAGUGAGGUCAUCUGUUAUUUCUCCUCCUCUCUUAAUACAUAGUGAGGUCAUCUGUUAUUUCUCCCCCUCUCUUAAUAUGUACUAAGGUCAUCUAUGUUUUCUCCCCCUCUCUUAACCCUGUCAUGGCUAAACGCUGGAAGAGGGCGUUAGGCGUAUUUGCUGGUGGUGCUAAACGCUCGCUGUGACCUCCACCCGCACUCAAAUCUCCCGCGUAUGAGUGUGUUUCGACGCUAAUUCUCACAACACAGGAUUGCCAAUUGAGUGCGUUCUUCACUAAACUUGGUGGGAAAUCGUAUCAGCCCAGCGCGGCAAAUCUACGGACGAGUUACCAGUGGAUGUUCUUGCCCAAUACAGCGUCAUUUUUGCAUAGCUUCACCGAUCACCUGACUGAUUCUUUGACCAAAUAGUUGUAAAUAUUGCAGUUGGUAACACUCCCUUGCCAGAGUCUGAAGGAGAGAUGUCCACAGUUCCCUCAAUACGGCUGAUCAUCCCACACGCACCGACGUAAGUGUUAACAUUCAACACUCCCUGAACAUGCCUGUACGUUCACAAGAGAGGCAUACAUGACCGACUCCUAUAGAUCUGGACCUCCUCUUUCCAAUGGUGUUUUUGGUUUUUAGCUGUGAUGAAUAGUUUUUGAGAUACAGAGGUUAAAACAGACCCCCCAUUGGCCUGACUGACCGCGCCUGAGGGGAUGGUCUCGUCCACACCGCGCGCAAGGAAAGGGUCGAUACGUAGUGAGGUCUUCAAUGUUAUUUCUCCCCUUCUAAGUCCAUUCUGGAAGGUCAGAGGUCAAAGGUCGAGAGAGUGACCCUAGAGUGUGAGGUCAUGUUACCUGAGCUGACUAACGACGGAAUUGAGUAUGUUUCUCUCUCUCUCUCUCUCUCUCUCUCUCUCU